Long non-coding RNA from Perognathus longimembris pacificus (Pacific pocket mouse), 154 nucleotides. RefSeq lists it as uncharacterized. The transcript has 3 exons. The record is from RefSeq and is a predicted model, not a curated record. Lineage: Eukaryota; Metazoa; Chordata; Mammalia; Rodentia; Heteromyidae.
GUGGCAUCACGGUUCUCUAUGCCCAAGUCAUAGCUGAGGAAGGGAAAAAAUAGAAGUAUGGCUUUUCAAAUAAGCUGAUAAGAUUAUAAAGCAUGAGAACAGUGAUGACAGGCAGAAAGGUCCUAAGGACAUCUGAAUCUAAGGAUAUCUGAAU